CUAUGUAAUAGUGGGGACAUUUUGUGAAGGUUAGCAACAUGCAUCGAGGAGAUGAUAGCACACUAAACAUGCCAGCCUGUGAUCAAGAUACCCCUUUCAAAGAAGUGGUAAUUCUUCUUCUCAAAUUCCCCUAUCUUGACAGCAAAGAGACAUCCUUCCUGAAGGCCACCUUUCUCUUAGGAGCCAGAAGUGUUUACCAGUCCUGCAGUGCCUUACCUGUGAAUAGCAGCCUUGACACCGUACAGUAAUAUGCAUGCUGUGAGAUAUUCAAGGAAGAAUAAGCAAAUUACAGAGAAUGGAAAGAAGUGGGAAAACCCUCCUGCUGCUGGCUGUGGAAUCAGUAGCUGGACAGAGCUCACUGGAGUGAUGGCUCCCUGGGUUCUGAGGAAAUAUUAUCGGAAACACAACAUAUUUUCGGCCAGUGGCCUGGGAGAAGGAUUAGGGGAGGUCAAGGGAAAAUACUGUGGUUGAGAAGGGCUGGAAAAAAAAAGGGAAAUGAAAAUCAAAGGAGACCUCAAUGUUUCUGUUGGUUUGUUUACAAAACCUAAAGAUUAGGAACCAGACUUCAUUUCUUAAUUGAAAAAAAUAAAAAUGAUUCAUAAGACUGAAAAAAAUAAAUCCCUUUAAAAAGAAGUACCUUACAACAAUAUGUCUGAUUAGACUGGUUGUCUGAAUAGAAAUAGAAGUUAUACAAAGAAUCAGCAGAGCAGCAUUGUUGACAGAGCCAGAGAGAGUCGAUUUCUCACCAGGUAUCUGCUUCCUCUGGCUGAAGGACUUUGGAUUGAUUAUAAUGGGUUAUGAAAAUGUGUGGCAUGUUCAUUACUGUCAAAGGUAGUGGAUAACUUUCAAACAGUGCAGAUAUUUUAUUUAUGAGUGAAUAAAAUAAUUUUAUAGCUGCCUAUCACUGAUUUCCAGUGCUGGAAUGGAGUAAAAUCAAUUCAAAGUUAAAGCAAAGAGAAAGAUUUGAGGGAGAGUGAAGGAUUUUCAUAACCUUGUUUUGCUUUCUUUGUUAUUAUUUUUGUUCUUUGGUUUGUUUCUGACUUAGAUUUCUCUGUUUUUAUUUGCGAUUUAAAGGCAAUCUGAAGUGUAACAAAUAG
Long non-coding RNA from Strigops habroptila (Kakapo), 1097 nucleotides. RefSeq lists it as uncharacterized. The transcript is spliced from 4 exons. Lineage: Eukaryota; Metazoa; Chordata; Aves; Psittaciformes; Psittacidae. The record is from RefSeq and is a predicted model, not a curated record.